GCUACGGGAGGCUGCAGUGGGGAAUAUUGCACAAUGGGGGGAACCCUGAUGCAGCGACGCCGCGUGGGUGAAGGAGUACUUCGGUACGUAAAGCCCUGUCAGCAGGGAAGAAAAUGACGGUACCUGAAGAAGAAGCCCCGGCUAACUACGGGCCAGCAGCCGCGGUAAUACGUAGGGGGCAAGCGUUAUCCGGAUUUACUGGGUGUAAAGGGGGCGCAGGCGGCGAUGCAAGUCAGGAGUUAAAGCCCGGGGCCCAACCCCGGGACUGUUCUUGGAAAUGCGUGGCUGGAGUGCAGGAGGGGCAGGCGGAAUUCCUGGUGUAGCGGUGAAAUGCGUAGAUAUCAGGAGGAACACCGGUGGCGAAGGCGGCCUGCUGGACUGCAACUGACGUUGAGGCCCGAAAGCGUGGGGAGCAAACAGGAUUAGAUACCCGAGUAGUC
RNAcentral lists this ribosomal RNA (440 nucleotides) under uncultured bacterium. RNAcentral's name for it is "partial 16S ribosomal RNA". It matches the Rfam family "Bacterial small subunit ribosomal RNA", at positions 338 to 795 of the family's 1533-position model. The record is from RNAcentral.